GUGUGCUGGAGAGCUUCACGUACCUACAAGGAAUACUUGCACUGGUCAGCAUCCUUCUGUGGGCCUGCAAUCCUAACCGACAAGGGCACAGAAGGCAGCUGUGCUCACACGGCUCUGAGAGCUCCCUUCACAGGCACUCCUCUGACCCAAGGAGUAACAACACACAGAACAAACAGCAAGGCACAACUCCUUUCCUCGGAGGGGCAACUGGACAGCCUUUAACCCUUUAAAAACCAGGGACUGAUUUUCACGGGUUCUGACUUCAGCACUGCAUCAUCCAGACACCUCCAGAUCCUAGCAGUGACCUCAAGGUCUCCAAAGAAGAUGAUGGGUCACAGAAGAACUCCACCUGGAACAUGCUUUAACUGUGGCAAGGACAGCUUCUGUGAAACACUGCCCUUCACCUUGCCCACAGCACAGCCUCUACGAACUGAGGACCAAGUGCGAUACUGGGGAGCUGACUGGCCCACUUUGCCUAGACAACAUAGACUGGUCCUCCAAGCUCCUCCUCCACAGGAAGGUCUGUUGGAUCUUUUGGGCCUGAUGGCCAAAGGCUGUCCACAGAGCUUGAUUGUCAGGUAGCCAGUAAGGAUCUAUUAUGUUUAAUAGACUCAGGACCUACUUGAUGUAUACUUAUUGAAUCACUGUUGGGUUCCGAGCUCCUACUAUGACUCAAACACAUGAGUCUAUUGACUUUUCUGCAAUGUGGAUCUCAAUAGAAAUUACACAGUGGUAAUGCUAACAUAUGUAAAAUUUUAUCUUUUGAUAAACUUAAAAUUCUUGUAAGUUGAAUGGAACUGAUUUGAAUUGUCCUCUCCCAGGUAAAAUAGACUCCAUAUAAAUACUGUCACCCAACA
Mus musculus (house mouse) is the source of this 857-nucleotide long non-coding RNA. RefSeq annotates it as predicted gene, 40091. The transcript is spliced from 2 exons. The record is from RefSeq and is a predicted model, not a curated record. NCBI's taxonomy places the organism in Eukaryota, Metazoa, Chordata, Mammalia, Rodentia, Muridae.